This 591-nucleotide long non-coding RNA is filed under the name Hordeum vulgare. RNAcentral describes it as "long non-coding RNA (HVUL_LNC002758)". The record is from RNAcentral. Lineage: Eukaryota; Viridiplantae; Streptophyta; Magnoliopsida; Poales; Poaceae.
ACGUCUUUUGCCUCUUAUUCUUCCUCUGGCAACCUCCUUUUGUCUCUGUUACGCAAAGGUUUUCACAUCCACACGUGACGUAACUACACGGCGGAUCGCUUGGCUGACGCAGCAACCGACUCGCGAUCUUGUCAAAACUUCCGUCACGAUGCCAGCAAAAAAAUAGUUUGGUUUCCUUGCGUGUUUUUGACUCCUCCGAAUAUAGAUGGAAACUGACCCGCAUACGGAGGGAGAGAGUUUUGUACAGGCAUCCCGUGUGGCUAUUAUCUUCUUCCUCGCCUCACCCCACCCCACCUCUUUCCUCCCCUUGACCUCUCCUUUCCCCUUCCUCCUCUCCAAAAAGAAAAGGGUCUAAGAUCUUGGCAUCUCGAUUCUCAUGCCAUGGAUAUGGAUAUGGAUGGAGCCGUCUGGAUAGUUUCCGUAUGCCGACCUGAAAGAUAGCACAUCUUUUCUGCUUGGCUUCGACGCCUAUCGAAGCUNNNNNNNNNNCAUGGUUUCCGUAUGCCGACAUGAAAGAUAGCACAUCUUUUCUGCUUGGCUUCGACGCCUAUCGAAGCUCUGGCGGCCGAGACGGGCAAACUUCUCUUGUUG